GUGGCCUCAGUGUGUCUCACACCAUUUACAGAUGAUUACAGGUCGUUUACAGUUCAAACAGGUCCAACAUAAGAAAUAUGCAGAAAAUAUCCUGCUAUAACAGUUUGGGUCAAAGUGCAGAUGUUCCAGAUGUUCUGAGUCUGUCUGUGUUUCAUGUUAACAUGUAGAUGUUGGACCAAAGUGAAGCUUUUUGAUGUGACAGCAGGAAUGUGAAGUGUAACUCUGAGCUGUAGGAAAUGAAACUAAACGCACUUUUUCUCCUUUAUUUAUAGGAAAGUGUAGGAGAGCAACAGAUGAACAAGCGUUACUGUAACAGGAAACAUCAGAGGACCUGAGGUCAGGGCGUCACACAAACAGCUUUAACUGCACAACGACACACUUUAAAUCAUCUGCAGACAAACCUGUGUGUUUGAUUUAUGAAGAAAUAAUAAAGACGUGUGUACAGCUGUCCAUGAAGCAGCUUCUCACACAAACUCUGACACUUCAGCC
Astatotilapia calliptera (eastern happy) is the source of this 489-nucleotide long non-coding RNA. Lineage: Eukaryota; Metazoa; Chordata; Actinopteri; Cichliformes; Cichlidae. The record is from Ensembl.